GGAAUUUUCCGCAAUGGGCGAAAGCCUGACGGAGCAACGCCGCGUGAGGGAUGAAGGUUUUCGGAUCGUAAACCUCUGUCAUCAGGGACGAUAAUGACGGUACCUGAUGAGGAAGCCACGGCUAACUACGUGCCAGCAGCCGCGGUAAUACGUAGGUGGCGAGCGUUGUCCGGAAUUACUGGGCGUAAAGGGCGUGUAGGCGGCCUUUUAAGUCAGAUGUGAAAUCUCAGGGCUUAACCCUGAAACUGCAUUUGAAACUGGAGGGCUUGAGGAUCGGAGAGGGCAGUGGAAUUCCCAGUGUAGCGGUGAUAUGCGUAGAUAUUGGGAAGAACACCAGUGGCGAAGGCGACUGCCUGGACGACACCUGACGCUGAGGCGCGAAAGCUAGGGUAGCGAA
Molecule: ribosomal RNA, 397 nt
Filed under: uncultured bacterium
Lineage: Bacteria
Description: bacterial SSU rRNA
Rfam family: Bacterial small subunit ribosomal RNA
Source: RNAcentral